UACGUAGGUGGCGAGCGUUGUCCGGAUUUACUGGGCGUAUAGAGCGCGCAGGCGGUCGUACAAGUCGCGUGUGAAAGCCCCCGGCUCAACUGGGGAGGGUCACGCGAUACUGUUCGACUCGAAGGCAGGAGAGGGAAGUGGAAUUCCCGGUGUAGUGGUGAAAUGCGUAGAUAUCGGGAGGAACACCAGUGGCGAAGGCGACUUCCUGGCCUGUUCUUGACGCUGAGGCGCGAAAGCUAGGGGAGCAAACGGG
RNAcentral lists this ribosomal RNA (253 nucleotides) under uncultured bacterium. RNAcentral's name for it is "partial 16S ribosomal RNA". It matches the Rfam family "Bacterial small subunit ribosomal RNA", at positions 524 to 776 of the family's 1533-position model. The record is from RNAcentral.